This 407-nucleotide ribosomal RNA is filed under the name bacterium enrichment culture clone ALO1_GLFRUDD03GYRF2. RNAcentral describes it as "bacterial SSU rRNA". It matches the Rfam family "Bacterial small subunit ribosomal RNA", at positions 9 to 417 of the family's 1533-position model. The record is from RNAcentral.
GAGUUUGAUCGUGGCUCAGAUUGAACGCUGGCGGCAUGCCUUACACAUGCAAGUCGAACGGCAGCACGGGAGCUCGCUCCUGGUGGCGAGUGGCGAACGGGUGAGUAAUGCAUCGGAACGUAUCCUGGAGUGGGGGAUAACGUAGCGAAAGUUACGCUAAUACCGCAUAUUCUGUGAGCAGGAAAGCGGGGGACCUUCGGGCCUCGCGCUCUUGGAGCGGCCGAUGUCGGAUUAGCUAGUUGGUGAGGUAAGGCUCACCAAGGCGACGAUCCGUAGCAGGUCUGAGAGGAUGAUCUGCCACACUGGAACUGAGACACGGUCCAGACUCCUACGGGAGGCAGCAGUGGGGAAUUUUGGACAAUGGGGGCAACCCUGAUCCAGCCAUGCCGCGUGAGUGAAGAAGGCCU